GGCCAUCAAGUGCUCUCCUCUAGCCCCAUCCAAACCAUAUCGGUGACGUACUGGGUGCGUAAACAGGUGUGAGUUUAAUGGAGCGCGCUUAUCGGCAGACGUACCCCACCAUAUUUGUAAUGGUCUAGUGAUAAAGCGGAAUUCUUGCUGGCCCCCAAAAAUCACACGAUGUUCCUAGAACGCUUGCCAUAUGGCUAUGACAAUAUUAUGAAGGCAAAGUACAAGCGGCCACACACCUCCUCCACCGUAAGCGGCAUGCAUACGCGAUACUCCUUGAUUAGCACCAUUUCUUUGGCGGAUUUGUAUGCCGGAGAAAAUACAAAUCAAAACUUUGAACGUUACGCAAAGAGACACACACGCGACGCAACGGCAAGCAACAACAAAUACGCAGUGUGGCCAGGCAGCAGCUGUUUAAAUACAUUUCGGGACUUGGAAUAGAGUGCACGGAGAGGUGGAGCACUUCGUUGAAAUAUCAGCAGUGUCAAGAACCAUUGACAAAUAUAUCGAUAAGACCGUAACAAUAUUUUAAUAAUUUAAUUAAAUGAAUUCAUAUAAUAAUGACAACAGUUUUGAUAUCGUAAGUAAAGUGAACAUCAACAAAAUAAUGCAUCGUAAACUGUGUAUAAUAAAAUGAAGUGUGAAAGGUGUAUAAGUAUUAGAUUAUAGGUAACACUAAUAUCGAUAGAAUUAAUUAUAUAGUCUAUAGAAACACGAUAGCAUAAUCGAGAUCGAGGGGUUUGAAUCGAGAGCUUGAUAGAGAAACAACUUGCAUACAAAAACUUAUCAAGAUUGUUAGAGCAUUCAAUAUUUUAAUAAGAACCAAUUUUAC
Molecule: non-coding RNA, 829 nt
Organism: Drosophila melanogaster (fruit fly)
Lineage: Eukaryota; Metazoa; Arthropoda; Insecta; Diptera; Drosophilidae
Source: Ensembl